CAUUUUCCAUUCAUCAACUUUUUUCUCAAAUUUUUUUCUUACAAUAAGAUGAAGAAGAUGAAGAUAAAAAAAGAUGAACAUUCAACAAAGAAAAAGAUGAAGAAGAACAAGAUUCAAUCAAGAAGAAAAAGAUGAUGAAGAAAAAGAUGAAGAAUCAAUGAAGAAUUCUUCGGUCAUCAUUUACCAACCAAGGGGUGAGUGGGGGACAAGAGAAGAAAAGCUUAUCCCAAACGGAAAGCUUUGACAACAUCGAGUUGGAGCACAUACUGAGAGCGGAGAACCAAAUCGUUGAUGCUCUAGCCACCCUAUCCUUGAUGUAUGCAUUGGGAAACCUUGAUGUCAUUCCCCAAAUUCAAAUCCAAAUACAAGAUGACUCUUCCCAUGUGGCUAAUGUAGAAGAAGAGUCGAACGGUAAACCUUGAUACCAUGACAUAAAAACUUAUAUUUAGAUAUAGCAAUACCCGUCGGGAGCACCAGAAAAUGACAAAAGGACAUUAUGGAGGUUCACCUUAGGAUUCUACAUCGAUAGGUACACCCUCUACAAAAGUAACCAUGAUCUUACCCUUUUACGGUGUGUGGACUCAAAAGAAGCCUUAUACGUACUUGAAGAGGUUCAUAAAGGGAUCUAUGGCACUCACUCCGACAGACAUGCCAUAGUAUGAAAGAUCCUAAGUAUGGGAUACCAUUAGACUCGGAUGGAGUCUGAUUAUAUGAUAUAUGUUCGUAAGUGCCACAAAAUGCCAAAUUUACACUGACGAUCUCCAGGCACACGCAACUUCCCUGAAUGUGAUGUCAUCACCCUGACCUUUCACCAUUAGGGGCAUCAAUGUGAUAGGGUUCAAGAUCAAACACCAUACCUCCAUCCCUUACAGAUAAAAAAUGAACGAUGUAGUGGAAGCCGCCAGCAAAAAUAACAGGAAGAUCAUACAAAAGAUGAUAGUUACUUAUCAAGAGAUUGGCACGAGAUGUUCCAGUUUGCACUUCAUGGAUUCCGUGCUUCGGUUAGGGAAUCUACCACCUCGUGUACGAAAUGGAAGCCAAUACUCCCCAUAGAAGUGGAAAUUCCUUCACUCAGAGUAUUAAUGGAAGCAAAACUAGAGGAAGUUGAGUGGCUAUAUGCACGAUAUGACCAACUUAACCUAAUAGAAGAAAAGAGGUUGGAAGCAGUUCACCAUGGUCACUUGUACCAGAGACUGCUAAUAUGGGCAUUCAAAAAAAAAGUAAAGCUUGGGAGGUUUUGAGAGGGAGAAAGGUGAUCAAGACUUUUCCACUAAAGCAGGGGGCCCUAGAGGAAAGUUUCCAAAUCUUGUCAAUUCAGAUAAAGUGAAGAAUUACUAUUCUUACACGAAUGAGUUUCCUCGGGUUUCCAAAGGAGGUUAUCAAAUUAGGCUUUGAGGCUCAUAAAAAUUCUUAUUAUUCUGUUUUCAUAUUUGUACCUUAUUAAAUGUUCCAAAAGUGAAAUAGAAAGCAAAUUUGGCAUAUUUAUAAAAUCUGCGGAAAUUGAAUUAUUCAAAAUUUCACUCUCUUCCUUUCUUUCCUUCCCAAAAAAUUCAAACACCUAUCCCUCUUUCUCAAAUUUUUAAAUUUUUUCUCCUUUUCUAUUUCUAUUUCCUCCAUCUCCUUCAUUUUCCAUUCAUCAACUUUUUUCUCAAAUUUUUUUCUUACAAUAAGAUGAAGAAGAUGAAGAUAAAAAAAGAUGAACAUUCAACAAAGAAAAAGAUGAAGAAUCAAUGAAGAAGAAGAAAAGGAGAAUAUAUAUUAAGUAGAAUAAAAGAAUAUAUUAAGAAGAAUAAGAUGAUGAUGAUAAUUAAGAAGGAUGAAGAAGAUGAAAAAAAUGACUAGAGAAUGAAGAACGAAGAACGAUGGACAACGAAUGAAGAAACUCAGUUGGGUUUUUGCAUUUUUUUAUUACUGGACGAAAAGGCUAACGACGGAUAAAAUUCAUUGUUAGCUUAACAGCGGAUAAAAUCCACCAUUAAUUAUUCUACCAUUACUUAUCUUAACCCUCCAUUAGUAUUUCUAACAGCGGACUAUUUGCUGUUAAAAUAAAUAAAAAAUCGUUUUUAGCCAAGCAGUUUCUUGUACUGAGCUUUUUCGGGUCCCAAGUACAUUUGUUGAAUUUCGAAAACAUGAACAUUUACUUUUUAAAAUCAUUUUGCAAGUAUGCAUACCAUGCAU
This 2178-nucleotide long non-coding RNA is filed under the name Linum usitatissimum (flax). RNAcentral describes it as "long non-coding RNA (LUSI_LNC007504)". The record is from RNAcentral. Lineage: Eukaryota; Viridiplantae; Streptophyta; Magnoliopsida; Malpighiales; Linaceae.